GGCGGAGUAGCUCAGCUGGUUAGAGCGACGGAAUCAUAAUCCGCAGGUCGGGGGUUCGAAUCCCUCCUCCGCUACCA
This 77-nucleotide transfer RNA is filed under the name uncultured bacterium. RNAcentral describes it as "transfer RNA-Met". It matches the Rfam family "tRNA". From Rfam's summary of the family: Transfer RNA (tRNA) molecules are approximately 80 nucleotides in length. Their secondary structure includes four short double-helical elements and three loops (D, anti-codon, and T loops). The record is from RNAcentral.